AAAACUCGUAAGAUGAAAGAGAUGGAAAUGAGUUUGUUGAAAGAAUUUGUGCGUGUUUUGUGGGAUUUUUGUUGUUUAUGAUGUUGUUAUGUUACAGGUGAGUAGUUAGUUUAAGUUCCGUUUUGCAUAAGCUAAUUAUGGAACAUCUGAAUGGGUGAGUAAAAAGGAGCAUUAGUGUGGUGUGAGUCAGUGCUUGCCCUUAUUUCUCUCUCUUCUCUUAUAUAAGAAGGUAUAUGUGGGUUAGGGUUUUGAGGGAGAAAGAAGGAAACGCGUUGAGAUGGGUUGGUAUUGAGGGGAAUGUUGGCUGGCUCGAGGCUUUUCACAAACGAGGUUCACAGUGGAUGGAACUAUAAGGCUUCGGACCAGGCUUCAUUCCCCUCAAAAGUACUUCCUUCAUGGAUCAGUUUCUACUUUCUAAUCAUCAACUACUUCAAACACAACAUAUAUAUAUAUAUAUAUAUAUAUAUAUGUAGCUACCUAGGUUCUGCUGCUUUUUUUUUCGACCUUGCAAAGGUGAGGUUGAGAGGAAUGUUGUCUGGCUCGAGGUCAUGGAGGAGGAGAGUUCUCAGUUCAACUCUUUCACUCAAAGUUUCCAAUGGAAAUUUACCCUCUAACACCAAAAUGAUUCUCGGACCAGGCUUCAUUCCCCCCACCCAACUUUUGCUAUUUUCUUUCUCACAAUCUUCAUACUCUGCAUGCUCCCAUGGUAAGUCUUUCUCUUUCUUUCAUCUUUCUCUCAAAUUUUAACACUCAACUCAAUAUCCCCUUUUGCAGCUUCUUUUUGCAGGCUCAGAAUUUUCAACUCACAACCUGUAAAUCUUUGUAAAGGUUGUAUUUUUCGUAGCUUCUCACAAAUCGUUACUGUAGAACUUCUUUGAUGGGUUAAUCAAUUUGUUUACAUGUAUGGCUUAAGAAACAACUUUGAGUUUGCUUCUGUACAUAUUGUUGUGUAACUAUGCUCUCAAGUUUCUCAAGUUUUCGUAUCUGUGAAGAAUGAAUCCACGUUUGAAAAUGUAUUCAUCUUAGGGGUAGUCAUAUUUUUUAAAAUGAAUUGCUAUGUUCUGAAAUAGGCUUCUUGUUUUUGUGUAUUUUCUCUCUCUCACGUUCACUCAGGGAGAGAGGCAUGUGGAGGGCAAAGCAAAUCUGUCUAGUUUUCUGGAUACUAAUUGUAUAUUAAGAUUUGAGAGAGAUAAGAUAGUAAGAAUAUAUUAAGAAAAAAGUUGGCUAAUCCAAGGCUCUCACACCUGCGGGAAUGUUUAUUUCACGUGGACAAGAAAGGUGAAUGAAAGCAUCAACAGUGAAAACCUAUCAGAUGUGAAAUUCUUUCUUUAUCUGCAACUAGCUGCUAUACCUCUUAGGUCUUUCUAGCGUUUCAAAACAUAACAUCCCUCUUCUGAAGUCCUUCCAGAUUUGAAUAAUGUUUCAGCUUUCUGUCAAUUAACCUGUUUUCAGGCCGGUGAAAAUUAUAGGGAAGGCAACUCCAUAAUUUACUUGGGAAAAAGGCUUUGCCAUCAUUUUCAUCAACAUCUGAAUGAAUGUACUUCAGUGAAAUGACAGUGACGAGUGUUGAAGGCAUGCACUGAGUAGCUGGUGAAGCUGCUGAGAGGCAUAUGCUAAAGGAGAAAGAGUAAUGAAUGAAAGAAAAGAAGAGAAGAGAUGUGCUGGAACAGUUAACGAGAAGAAGUGAGAAUCAGGAGAAGCUAUGUGUCUGAGGCUGUGAGUUUUGGUAGCUAGGUGGAGAACAGAUAUAUGAUUAUGAUCUAUGACCACACCACGCCAGCUUCCAUUAUCAUGACGACCCAGAUGUGUGUAUCUAGCUGCAUGCAUAACUAAGCUGAUGCAAACUAAACCUGGAAAAAAGAGAAAGAGAAAAUGCAACUUCUCUUGUAUUCUAUUAUUAAGACUGAGUCUGAUAUGUGUGUUUUAGUGUAAUGUAUUUAUGGAGCUUCUAAAGCUGUUGAAAAUUCAGAAACCAUCUCCGGAAAAGGUUGGAUCAUCACCCUUUUCGUGGAGUCACUGUAGUAAUAGUGAGAUGAGAUCUUUUAGCAUUUGAAAUUGAAAAGCAUUUGGAGAGAGAAAGAGAGAAAGAGAGAAAGUAAAUGUAGAGUAUCUGAUAUGUUUCUUGGGAAAUGAAACUAAGAGAAAGACACAGCAACUCGGGGACCGGUUCAUGACAAACUUGGUCUCUUUAAAGAAGUGAAACAAUUGCACUCCUUUUAUUGUUGA
Vigna radiata var. radiata (mung bean) is the source of this 2226-nucleotide long non-coding RNA. RefSeq lists it as uncharacterized. The record is from RefSeq and is a predicted model, not a curated record. The transcript has 2 exons. Lineage: Eukaryota; Viridiplantae; Streptophyta; Magnoliopsida; Fabales; Fabaceae.